Molecule: small nuclear RNA, 306 nt
Filed under: Erinaceus europaeus (western European hedgehog)
Lineage: Eukaryota; Metazoa; Chordata; Mammalia; Eulipotyphla; Erinaceidae
Description: 7SK RNA
Rfam family: 7SK RNA (bases 1-195)
About the family: 7SK was discovered as an abundant small nuclear RNA in the mid-70s but a possible function has only recently been suggested.
Source: Rfam by way of RNAcentral
AGAUGUGAGAGUGAUCUGGCUGUGACAUCUGUCACCCCAUUGAUCUUCAACACCAGGGUUGAUUAUUCUGAUCUGGCUGGCUAGGCAUAUGUCCUCUUCCUCCCUCACAGCUCCAUGUGCAUCCCUCCUGAAGCUGCUGCACUUGUUUGAAGAGGAUGGUCUUCCCCAAUUGAGACCGGCCAGUCUUUUUUUUUUUUUAAGCCUCUGAUCAUCUUUUUUUAUUAUUAUUUUUAUUUAUAAAAUGGAAAUAUUGGCAAGACCAUAGGAUAAGAGGGGUACAAUUGCACACAAUUCCCACCACCAGAG